This 832-nucleotide ribosomal RNA is filed under the name Vibrio cyclitrophicus ZF30. RNAcentral's name for it is "bacterial LSU rRNA". It matches the Rfam family "Bacterial large subunit ribosomal RNA", at positions 393 to 1228 of the family's 2925-position model. Lineage: Bacteria; Pseudomonadati; Pseudomonadota; Gammaproteobacteria; Vibrionales; Vibrionaceae. RNAcentral also lists the same sequence under 1 other name. The record is from RNAcentral.
UCAUAAUCAGUGAAAACGAGUAGGGCGGGACACGUGAUAUCCUGUCUGAAUAUGGGGGGACCAUCCUCCAAGGCUAAAUACUACUGACUGACCGAUAGUGAACCAGUACCGUGAGGGAAAGGCGAAAAGAACCCCUGUGAGGGGAGUGAAAUAGAACCUGAAACCGUGUACGUACAAGCAGUAGGAGCACCUUCGUGGUGUGACUGCGUACCUUUUGUAUAAUGGGUCAGCGACUUAAUUUUAGUAGCAAGGUUAACCGUUUAGGGGAGCCGUAGGGAAACCGAGUCUUAACUGGGCGUACAGUUGCUAGGAUUAGACCCGAAACCAGGUGAUCUAGCCAUGGGCAGGUUGAAGGUUGAGUAACAUCAACUGGAGGACCGAACCGACUAAUGUUGAAAAAUUAGCGGAUGACUUGUGGCUAGGGGUGAAAGGCCAAUCAAACCUGGAGAUAGCUGGUUCUCCCCGAAAGCUAUUUAGGUAGCGCCUCGGACGAAUACUACUGGGGGUAGAGCACUGUUAAGGCUAGGGGGUCAUCCCGACUUACCAACCCUUUGCAAACUCCGAAUACCAGUAAGUACUAUCCGGGAGACACACGGCGGGUGCUAACGUCCGUCGUGGAGAGGGAAACAACCCAGACCGCCAGCUAAGGUCCCAAAGUAUAGCUAAGUGGGAAACGAUGUGGGAAGGCUCAGACAGCCAGGAUGUUGGCUUAGAAGCAGCCAUCAUUUAAAGAAAGCGUAAUAGCUCACUGGUCGAGUCGGCCUGCGCGGAAGAUGUAACGGGGCUAAGCUAUACACCGAAGCUGCGGCUACGUACCUUAGGGUAUGUGGGG